RNAcentral lists this ribosomal RNA (1308 nucleotides) under Escherichia coli MS 16-3. Its description in RNAcentral is "bacterial LSU rRNA". It matches the Rfam family "Bacterial large subunit ribosomal RNA", at positions 1640 to 2925 of the family's 2925-position model. Lineage: Bacteria; Pseudomonadati; Pseudomonadota; Gammaproteobacteria; Enterobacterales; Enterobacteriaceae. The record is from RNAcentral.
AAUCGUACCCCAAACCGACACAGGUGGUCAGGUAGAGAAUACCAAGGCGCUUGAGAGAACUCGGGUGAAGGAACUAGGCAAAAUGGUGCCGUAACUUCGGGAGAAGGCACGCUGAUAUGUAGGUGAAGCGACUUGCUCGUGGAGCUGAAAUCAGUCGAAGAUACCAGCUGGCUGCAACUGUUUAUUAAAAACACAGCACUGUGCAAACACGAAAGUGGACGUAUACGGUGUGACGCCUGCCCGGUGCCGGAAGGUUAAUUGAUGGGGUUAGCGGUAACGCGAAGCUCUUGAUCGAAGCCCCGGUAAACGGCGGCCGUAACUAUAACGGUCCUAAGGUAGCGAAAUUCCUUGUCGGGUAAGUUCCGACCUGCACGAAUGGCGUAAUGAUGGCCAGGCUGUCUCCACCCGAGACUCAGUGAAAUUGAACUCGCUGUGAAGAUGCAGUGUACCCGCGGCAAGACGGAAAGACCCCGUGAACCUUUACUAUAGCUUGACACUGAACAUUGAGCCUUGAUGUGUAGGAUAGGUGGGAGGCUUUGAAGUGUGGACGCCAGUCUGCAUGGAGCCGACCUUGAAAUACCACCCUUUAAUGUUUGAUGUUCUAACGUUGGCCCGUAAUCCGGGUUGCGGACAGUGUCUGGUGGGUAGUUUGACUGGGGCGGUCUCCUCCUAAAGAGUAACGGAGGAGCACGAAGGUUGGCUAAUCCUGGUCGGACAUCAGGAGGUUAGUGCAAUGGCAUAAGCCAGCUUGACUGCGAGCGUGACGGCGCGAGCAGGUGCGAAAGCAGGUCAUAGUGAUCCGGUGGUUCUGAAUGGAAGGGCCAUCGCUCAACGGAUAAAAGGUACUCCGGGGAUAACAGGCUGAUACCGCCCAAGAGUUCAUAUCGACGGCGGUGUUUGGCACCUCGAUGUCGGCUCAUCACAUCCUGGGGCUGAAGUAGGUCCCAAGGGUAUGGCUGUUCGCCAUUUAAAGUGGUACGCGAGCUGGGUUUAGAACGUCGUGAGACAGUUCGGUCCCUAUCUGCCGUGGGCGCUGGAGAACUGAGGGGGGCUGCUCCUAGUACGAGAGGACCGGAGUGGACGCAUCACUGGUGUUCGGGUUGUCAUGCCAAUGGCACUGCCCGGUAGCUAAAUGCGGAAGAGAUAAGUGCUGAAAGCAUCUAAGCACGAAACUUGCCCCGAGAUGAGUUCUCCCUGAGACUUAGAGUCUCCUGAAGGAACGUUGAAGACGACGACGUUGAUAGGCCGGGUGUGUAAGCGCAGCGAUGCGUUGAGCUAACCGGUACUAAUGAACCGUGAGGCUUAACC